GAUGAACGCUAGCUACAGGCUUAACACAUGCAAGUCGAGGGGCAGCGGGAUUGAAGCUUGCUUCAAUUGCCGGCGACCGGCGCACGGGUGAGUAACGCGUAUCCAACCUUCCGUACACUCAGGGAUAGCCUUUCGAAAGAAAGAUUAAUACCUGAUGGUAUCUUAAGCACACAUGUAAUUAAGAUUAAAGAUUUAUCGGUGUACGAUGGGGAUGCGUUCCAUUAGGUAGUAGGCGGGGUAACGGCCCACCUAGCCAACGAUGGAUAGGGGUUCUGAGAGGAAGGUCCCCCACAUUGGAACUGAGACACGGUCCAAACUCCUACGGGAGGCAGCAGUGAGGAAUAUUGGUCAAUGGACGAGAGUCUGAACCAGCCAAGUAGCGUGAAGGAUGAAGGUCCUAACGGAUUGUAAACUUCUUUUAUAAGGGAUAAACCCUCCACGUGUGGGAGCUUGUAUGUACCUUAUGAAUAAGCAUCGGCUAACUCCGUGCCAGCA
Molecule: ribosomal RNA, 495 nt
Filed under: uncultured bacterium
Lineage: Bacteria
Description: bacterial SSU rRNA
Rfam family: Bacterial small subunit ribosomal RNA
Source: RNAcentral